RNAcentral lists this ribosomal RNA (527 nucleotides) under uncultured bacterium. Its description in RNAcentral is "partial 16S ribosomal RNA". It matches the Rfam family "Bacterial small subunit ribosomal RNA", at positions 355 to 900 of the family's 1533-position model. The record is from RNAcentral.
UGGGGAAUAUUGGACAAUGGGGGCAACCCUGAUCCAGCAAUGCCGCGUGUGUGAAGAAGGUCUUCGGAUUGUAAAGCACUUUCGACGGGGACGAUGAUGACGGUACCCGUAGAAGAAGCCCCGGCUAACUUCGUGCCAGCAGCCGCGGUAAUACGAAGGGGGCUAGCGUUGCUCGGAAUGACUGGGCGUAAAGGGCGUGUAGGCGGUUUACACAGUCAGAUGUGAAAUCCCCGGGCUUAACCUGGGAGCUGCAUUUGAUACGUGUAGACUAGAGUGUGAGAGAGGGUUGUGGAAUUCCCAGUGUAGAGGUGAAAUUCGUAGAUAUUGGGAAGAACACCGGUGGCGAAGGCGGCAACCUGGCUCAUGACUGACGCUGAGGCGCGAAAGCGUGGGGAGCAAACAGGAUUAGAUACCCUGGUAGUCCACGCUGUAGACGAUGUGUGCUAGAUGUUGGGUAACUUUGUUAUUCAGUGUCGCAGUUAACGCGUUAAGCACACCGCCUGGGAGUACGACCGCAAGGUUGAAAC